This 410-nucleotide ribosomal RNA is filed under the name uncultured microorganism. RNAcentral describes it as "bacterial SSU rRNA". It matches the Rfam family "Bacterial small subunit ribosomal RNA", at positions 509 to 917 of the family's 1533-position model. The record is from RNAcentral.
CAGCAGCCGCGGUAAUACGUAGGUGGCAAGCGUUGUCCGGAAUUAUUGGGCGUAAAGCGCGCGCAGGCGGUUCCUUAAGUCUGAUGUGAAAUCUCGCGGCUCAACCGCGAGCGGCCAUUGGAAACUGGGGAACUUGAGUGCAGGAGAGGGGAGCGGAAUUCCACGUGUAGCGGUGAAAUGCGUAGAGAUGUGGAGGAACACCAGUGGCGAAGGCGGCUCUCUGGCCUGUAACUGACGCUGAGGCGCGAAAGCGUGGGGAGCGAACAGGAUUAGAUACCCUGGUAGUCCACGCCGUAAACGAUGAGUGCUAAGUGUUAGAGGGGAUCCACCCUUUAGUGCUGCAGCAAACGCAUUAAGCACUCCGCCUGGGGAGUACGGCCGCAAGGCUGAAACUUAAAGGAAUUGGCGGG